AAAGGUUUAGGAAUCUUCAGGUGAAGAUUCCAUGUCAGAGAGAGGACACAGAGUAAGAAGAAAACAGGAGCAUCAUCAUUAAACAAAUUGAAAAGUGACAGAUGAUGGACUGACCCAAGGAGGAAGACCCUGCCUACCAGGCCCAAAGUAGGCAUGCAAAUGGAGAAUUCACACUUGCAAAUGGUGCUCAAGAUCCACCAUAUUGACUUCUUUAAAGGAAAUAAAAUGUAGCACUGUGCCCCAGAAA
Molecule: long non-coding RNA, 247 nt
Organism: Callorhinus ursinus (northern fur seal)
Lineage: Eukaryota; Metazoa; Chordata; Mammalia; Carnivora; Otariidae
Source: RefSeq, a predicted model, not a curated record